UCUCCUGUAGCUCAGUGGAGAGCGUCCGACCGGUGUACGGAAGGUCAUAGGUUCGACUCCUGUUGGGGGAA
RNAcentral lists this transfer RNA (71 nucleotides) under Desmophyllum pertusum. RNAcentral's name for it is "Lophelia pertusa tRNA". It matches the Rfam family "tRNA". From Rfam's summary of the family: Transfer RNA (tRNA) molecules are approximately 80 nucleotides in length. Lineage: Eukaryota; Metazoa; Cnidaria; Anthozoa; Scleractinia; Caryophylliidae. The record is from Rfam by way of RNAcentral.